This 1643-nucleotide unclassified non-coding RNA is filed under the name uncultured fungus. RNAcentral's name for it is "sequence contains 18S rRNA gene, ITS1, 5.8S rRNA gene, ITS2, 28S rRNA gene". Lineage: Eukaryota; Fungi. The record is from RNAcentral.
UCGGUUCCGUGACGUGGGCCUUCGAAUUCGAAGGGCAGCCCUACUUCGCCGGCUUCAGGGACCUGGCGACGAACGGGAUCGACAAACCGGUGCUGAACGUGUUCCGCAUGCUCGGAAAGAUGGUUGGCGAGCGUCUCCGCGUGCGCAGUUCCAGCGCCGCGCCGCUCGAGGAGAUUCGCGAUCGCGGCGUGCGCGGACGACCCGAUAUCUAUGGCAUUGCCUCCCGCGGCGCACCGGACGUCUCGGUCCUCGUGUGGAAUUACCAUGACGACGAUCUUCCGGCGCCGGCGGCGCAGGUCACACUCACGAUCGACGGUGUCAAGGACGGCGACGCCACCAUCACACACUUCCGGGUGGACGGCGAACACGGGAACUCGUACGCCGCCUGGCUGAAGAUGGGGUCUCCGCAAUCGCCAACGCCGGAUCAGUACAAGCAGCUCGAGCAAUCGGGCAAGUUGGCCCCGCUGGCUCCCCCGAAGCGGGUUCGGAUCACCGGAGGGAAAUGGACCGAGACGUUCGCACUGCCGCGGCAAGGUGUGUCACUAGUGGUGGUCACGCAGCGAUGACUCGCAGGCUCCUCGCAGCGAUCGCCCUCCUGGCCGCGUGCCUCCUCGCCUCGGCGGCUCCGAGCUCACUGUCGUCGGCCGCCCAGCCGGCGACGCUCACCGGUGCGGACGCGCCGCCUGGCGCGAUCUGGCUCGACAGUCUCGACCUCACGAAGAUGGUCCAGCGCCGUGGCACGCCGAGAGCCGGGAAGUCAGGCUCCGGCCGCGGGAACAAUCCCCCUCCACUUUCGCUCGGUGGCAUCGUCUACGCGCAUGGGGUCGGCACGCUGUCGAUCAACGAGCUGAUCGUCGAUCUCAAGGGACAGGCUACGCGCUUCGAGUCGAUGAUCGGGAUAGACGAUGCCGCGGCGAAGGGGCAGGGGUCGGUCAACUACGAGAUCUGGGUCGACAACAAACGCGCCUUCAUCAGCCCGCUGAUGAAGGCCGGUGACCCGCCUCAGUCCGUCUCCGUCGACCUGACCGGCGCAAAGUUCCUGGAACUGCUGAUCGACGACGGCGGCGACGUGAGCACGGGCGACUACGCGAAUUGGGCCGGUGCGGUAAUUCACCUCAAGCCGGGGGCGACCGGUAAGCCCGAGAGCUGGACGUUCCCGUCGGAACCCGCGCCGCCGAUCGCGUCCGGCGCUCCGGCGACGCCGCGCAUCAACGCACCACGCAUCACCGGCGGCACCCCCGGCCGUCCGUUCCUGUUCCGCAUUCCCGCAACCGGCGAAGCGCCGUUGACCUUCCGCGCAACGGGGCUGCCCGCCGGACUGAGACUCGACGAGCGGAACGGCACCAUCAGUGGGACGAUCGCCGCGGCCGGACGCACGAACGUCUCGAUCGAAGUGACCAACGCGAAAGGUUCAACGAAGAGUCCGCUCACGAUCGUUGGCGGUGAAGACGCGCUCGCGCUGACCCCGCCGCUCGGCUGGAACUCGUGGAACGUCUGGGGCGGCUCGGUGGACGACGCAAAGGUGCGCGCCGCCGCCGACGCGAUGGUCUCGAGCGGCCUGGCGGCGCACGGUUACCAGUUCGUGAACAUAGACGAUGGGUGGGAAGGGAAGCGGGACGCCGCGGGCGUGUUGCAGCCGAACG